AGUAAAAGUCGUAACAAGGUUUCCGUAGGUGAACCUGCGGAAGGAUCAUUAACGAGUUGAACGGGGUUGUAGCUGGCCUUCACGGGCAUGUGCACACCUCACUCAUCCACUCUACACCUGUGCACUUACUGUGGGUUUCGAGAGGCCGCGCUUGCGUGGUUGAUCGGGCUCACGUCUAUUACAAACUCUUCAGUAUCAGAAUGUGUAUCGCGAUGUAACGCAUCUAUAUACAACUUUCAGCAACGGAUCUCUUGGCUCUCGCAUCGAUGAAGAACGCAGCGAAAUGCGAUAAGUAAUGUGAAUUGCAGAAUUCAGUGAAUCAUCGAAUCUUUGAACGCACCUUGCGCUCCUUGGUAUUCCGAGGAGCAUGCCUGUUUGAGUGUCGUGUAAUUCUCAACCUAUAAAUCCUUGUGGUUUUUAGGCUUGGACUUGGAGGCUUUUGCUGGCUUUACCGUCGGCUCCUCUUAAACGCAUUAGCUUGAUUCCUUGCGGAUCGGCUCUCAGUGUGAUAAUUAUCUGCGCUGUGACCGUGAAGCGUUUGGCGAGCUUCUAACCGUCUCUUCGAGACAAACACUUUGACAUCUGACCUCAAAUCAGGUAGGACUACCCGCUGAACUUAAGCAUAUCAAUAAGCGGAGGA
This 640-nucleotide ribosomal RNA is filed under the name uncultured fungus. RNAcentral describes it as "eukaryotic LSU rRNA". The stretch from base 232 to 385 matches the Rfam family "5.8S ribosomal RNA". The record is from RNAcentral. Lineage: Eukaryota; Fungi.